CUCAGGAGACAAACAUAUUGAAAAUGAUCUGAGUGAACAAAUACCUUUGAAAUCAGAAGGGACACAAUUUGGAAGUGAAAUUGGAACACAUCCACAGGAAGUCCCAAUAAUGACUGAAGUAUAUCAAGGAAAUGACAUGAUGCCAUGCAGAUGGAGAGUCAAAGACCUUGAACAAGAAUUGGAAAGAACAAUUGAUUAUUUUCAAUUUCAGAUUAUUUAUAUGAAGAAAAAUGCAAAUGACAAUUGGUGGGCAGCUCGGUUUGCCGAGAGAGAACUCCAUGACUUAAAGAAAGAAUAUGUUUGUAAAAG
Molecule: long non-coding RNA, 309 nt
Organism: Ochotona princeps (American pika)
Lineage: Eukaryota; Metazoa; Chordata; Mammalia; Lagomorpha; Ochotonidae
Exons: 5
Source: RefSeq, a predicted model, not a curated record